GACGAACGCUGGCGGCGUGCUUAACACAUGCAAGUCGUACGGUAAGGCCCUUUCGGGGGUACACGAGUGGCGAACGGGUGAGUAACACGUGAGUAACCUGCCCACAACUUUGGGAUAACGCUAGGAAACUGGUGCUAAUACUGGAUAUGUGCUCCUGCUGCAUGGUGGGGGUUGGAAAGCUCCGGCGGUUGUGGAUGGACUCGCGGCCUAUCAGCUUGUUGGUGGGGGAGUGGCCUACCAAGGCGGCGACGGGUAGCCGGCCUGAGAGGGUGACCGGCCACAUUGGGAAUGGGAUACGGCCCAGACUCCUACGGGAGGCAGCAGUGGGGAAUAUUGCACAAUGGGCGCAAGCCUGAUGCAGCAACGCCGCGGGCGGGAUGACGGCCUUCGGGUUGUAAACCGCUUUCAGCAGGGACGAAGCUUUUUGUGACGGUACCUGCAGAAGAAGCACCGGCUAACUACGUG
This 465-nucleotide ribosomal RNA is filed under the name uncultured bacterium. RNAcentral's name for it is "partial 16S ribosomal RNA". It matches the Rfam family "Bacterial small subunit ribosomal RNA", at positions 28 to 507 of the family's 1533-position model. The record is from RNAcentral.